GAUGAACGCUGGCGGCGUGCCUAAUACAUGCAAGUCGAGCGAACAGAUAAGGAGCUUGCUCCUUUGACGUUAGCGGCGGAUGGGUGAGUAACACGUGGGUAACCUACCUAUAUGACUGGAAUAACUCCGGGAAACCGGGGUUAAUGCCGGAUAAAAUUUAGAACCGCAGGGUUCUAAAGUGAAAGUUGGUUUUGCUAUCACUUAUAGAUGGAACCGCGCCGUAUUAGCUAGUUGGUAAGGUAACGGCUUACCAAGGCAAGGAUACGUAGCCGACCUCGGAGAGUGGUAGGCCACCCUGGAGCGUGAACGCCGUCCAUGCUCCUGAGAGAGGGCGCAGUAUGGUAUCGGACGCAGUAGGGGAAAACAUGACGGAACGGCGGCACGUGAGUGAUAGAGGUGUUCGGAUCGUAAAACUCUGUUAUUAGUGAAGAACAAAUGUGUAAGUAACUGUGCACGUCUUGACGGUACCUGAUCAGAAAGCCACGGCUAACUACGUG
This 497-nucleotide ribosomal RNA is filed under the name uncultured bacterium. Its description in RNAcentral is "partial 16S ribosomal RNA". It matches the Rfam family "Bacterial small subunit ribosomal RNA", at positions 28 to 507 of the family's 1533-position model. The record is from RNAcentral.